Molecule: ribosomal RNA, 646 nt
Filed under: uncultured bacterium
Lineage: Bacteria
Description: bacterial SSU rRNA
Rfam family: Bacterial small subunit ribosomal RNA
Source: RNAcentral
UUAAUACAAGAUGGCAUCAUGAGUCCACAUGUUCACAUGAUUAAAGGUAUUCCGGUAGACGAUGGGGAUGCGUUCCAUUAGAUAGUAGGCGGGGUAACGGCCCACCUAGUCUUCGAUGGAUAGGGGUUCUGAGAGGAAGGUCCCCCACAUUGGAACUGAGACACGGUCCAAACUCCUACGGGAGGCAGCAGUGAGGAAUAUUGGUCAAUGGGCGAGAGCCUGAACCAGCCAAGUAGCGUGAAGGAUGACUGCCCUAUGGGUUGUAAACUUCUUUUAUAAAGGAAUAAAGUCGGGUAUGCAUACCCGUUUGCAUGUACUUUAUGAAUAAGGAUCGGCUAACUCCGUGCCAGCAGCCGCGGUAAUACGGAGGAUCCGAGCGUUAUCCGGAUUUAUUGGGUUUAAAGGGAGCGUAGAUGGAUGUUUAAGUCAGUUGUGAAAGUUUGCGGCUCAACCGUAAAAUUGCAGUUGAUACUGGAUAUCUUGAGUGCAGUUGAGGCAGGCGGAAUUCGUGGUGUAGCGGUGAAAUGCUUAGAUAUCACGAAGAACUCCGAUUGCGAAGGCAGCCUGCUAAGCUGCAACUGACAUUGAGGCUCGAAAGUGUGGGUAUCAAACAGGAUUAGAUACCCUGGUAGUCCACACGGUAAAC